AGAGCGAACGCUGGCGGCAUGCUUAACACAUGCAAGUCGCACGGUCGGAGCAAUCCGGCAGUGGCGGACGGGUGAGUAACGCGUAGGUAUCUAUCCGAGGGUGGGGGAUAACGCCGGGAAACUGGUGCUAAUACCGCAUGAUGACUGAGGUCCAAAGGUCGCAAGACCGCCCAUGGAGGAGCCUGCGUCCGAUUAGCUUGUUGGUGGGGUAAUGGCCUACCAAGGCGAUGAUCGGUAGCUGGUCUGAGAGGAUGAUCAGCCACACUGGGAUUGAGAACGGCCCAGACUCCUACGGGGGGCAGCAGUGAGGAAUUUUCGUCAAUGGGGAAACCCUGAACGAGCAACGCCGCGUGCAGGAAGACACUUUUCGGAGCGUAAACUGCUUUUCUCGGGGACGAGUAAGGACGGUACCCGAGGAAUCGAGCCCCGGCUAACUACGUGCCAGCAGCCGC
This 452-nucleotide ribosomal RNA is filed under the name uncultured bacterium. RNAcentral's name for it is "SSU rRNA". It matches the Rfam family "Bacterial small subunit ribosomal RNA", at positions 26 to 518 of the family's 1533-position model. The record is from RNAcentral.